AUGGAAGGAAAUCAACUGGCUGCUAUCCAAGAAGAAGAAGGGGAAGAAAGAGGAGCCGGGCAAACAGAGGAAUAUCAAGAGGCAGAGGUUCCAGAUCUGGCUUUGAAUCUGCAAGUAAUGAAUAUCUCUGCACCAAGGGUUCAUAAUCUGCGGGCAACACAGCCAUGGACAAUGGGUUCAGAUAAUCUACUCAUUGAAUGGAUAGACCCGGCAGAUGAAUCUAAGACGAAGGAUGAUUACAAGUUCGACCACAUAUAUGUGAGUGUUCGUGUUUAUGGGGUACCAAAAAAUCACAGAUCGCUCCAACUUUUACAGCAAAUCCUCUCUACUGUUGGCAAGCCGUCUGAAUUUCACCCUUUGCAAGAAAGCAUGUUGUUUGCUAGUAGAUCAGACUAUAUUUGGGGAACUACAAAGAUUAGAAUUAGUGAUUCAACUGUGGACAAAAUCAGUUUGACAUUGGAUGAAAAGAACUCUAAAACGGUCUAUCUUUAUUAUGAAAAGGUUGGCAGAAUCUGCUUGUUUUGUGGAGUGAUGUUUCAUACAGUCCAACAUUGCCAGAAGAGGAAUAACAUUAUUAUGGAAAGGGUGAGAAGAGGACAAUCAACAGAUAUGGUGAAUGGGUAA
RNAcentral lists this ribosomal RNA (624 nucleotides) under Triticum aestivum (bread wheat). RNAcentral's name for it is "partial small subunit ribosomal RNA". Lineage: Eukaryota; Viridiplantae; Streptophyta; Magnoliopsida; Poales; Poaceae. The record is from RNAcentral.